Molecule: ribosomal RNA, 253 nt
Filed under: uncultured bacterium
Lineage: Bacteria
Also listed under: 1 other name
Description: partial 16S ribosomal RNA
Rfam family: Bacterial small subunit ribosomal RNA
Source: RNAcentral
UACGGAGGGUGCAAGCGUUAUCCGGAAUCACUGGGUUUAAAGGGUGCGUAGGCGGCUUAGUAAGUCAGUGGUGAAAGACUGUGGCUUAACCAUGGAAUUGCCAUUGAUACUGCUGAGCUUGAAUCAGGUUGAGGUUGGCGGAAUGUGACAUGUAGCGGUGAAAUGCUUAGAUAUGUCAUGGAACACCGAUUGCGAAGGCAGCUGACUGGACCUGUAUUGACGCUGAGGCACGAAAGCGUGGGGAGCGAACAGG